This 844-nucleotide long non-coding RNA is filed under the name Rattus norvegicus (Norway rat). Its description in RNAcentral is "long non-coding RNA NONRATT022805". Lineage: Eukaryota; Metazoa; Chordata; Mammalia; Rodentia; Muridae. The record is from RNAcentral.
GGCUCGUCUGGGAUCUGCGCGACUACCCCAGACUCCGAAGACCCCUUGGAGGCUAAAAGACCUACAGGUGAUACAGAAAGAAAUCUGCUCACAGCUGACAGCAGCCUAUGCCCCGGAGACCCCUGAGACAUCCCAUCAGUUCCAGGUCGGAAGCAGCUACACUGAGCCCAGACACUCGAUCCUCGCUGGAAAGGACCAUACCUGGUGCUGCUGACCACCCUGACAGCCGUCAAUUCUCAGCCCUCACCAGCCGUGUACUAGCUGUUAGGGCUGAGAGCUGGGACCUAGAGAGAAAUUCAGUCAUGUUUGUCCUGGGUUCUAUCAAGAUAGGUGUGGGAUAGGCUUGAUUUCUAUUACAAAUGAUGUAACAUUACAUAUGUUAAUACUCCUAACACUUCUUGGGACUGUGCCUCAGGGAUCACAACCUAUAUAAGUUUAGAAGUUCUGAAAGACAGUCAUGACCUUGGUAUAUAGGUUUAGAUAGUGUCCAGAUAAAAUCCUGAUGCUAAAGACUUUUUAGCUGACCUCCAAGAAUACCUAACCUCCCUCUCAGAGGUAGUCCUUCAAAAUAAGAAAAGAUUAGACCUGAUAUUCCUUAAAGAAGGAGUCUGUGUGCUACACUGAAAGAAUGUUGCUUCUAUACAGACCAUUCAGGAGUAAUUAAAGACUCCAUAAAUAAACUUAGAAAAAGGUUAGACAAAAGACAGACAGAAAAACACAUCAGAGAUGGUUCGAGAGCUAGUUUAGUAGAUCUCCCUAGAUGACUACCCUACUCUCUGCUACAGCUGGGCCAUUAUUAAUAAUUUUCUUGGUUUUAGUCUUUGGCUCCUGCGUGACAAACAGG